Molecule: long non-coding RNA, 4151 nt
Organism: Dicentrarchus labrax (European seabass)
Lineage: Eukaryota; Metazoa; Chordata; Actinopteri; Moronidae
Exons: 2
Source: RefSeq, a predicted model, not a curated record
UGGAUGGGGAGAGAGAGAGACAACGCUAUUAGUGAAAGAGAAACAUACAUAUAUGAUGGAUACCUCAAAAGAAGAUGAUAUUGGGGUUGGGAAGAAAAUGUGGGAAAACUAAAAUCACCAAAUUAAACAGCAUGAUGCAGAGGUGAGAAAAUGUUGUAGUAAAUGGUGAAAUAUAGAGUCUAAUCAAACAACUGAACAUUGUUCAGUAAGGGUUCAGAAGGCUGUUCUAAAGGCAAGGUUGUUCUUUGAGCAAGCAACAACCCUCUCCUCCAAAGGUUACAUAAAACGUCUCUCAAUUCAGCCCCCACUCUCCUAUCAAGCCCACACAGAGGUAGGCGUCUGUGAAAACACAAGACAAGCAAAAAAAAAUCAUGAAACAUCAAAAUCUCCCAUUGCAGAGAUAUUGAAAAGACAGCCACAAAGUAAGCCCUUACUCAGGGGUUCGUCAAAAAAAAUCAUCUUUGUUCUCAUGGAACUGAGUUUGCUGCUAAUAAAAAUAGAAAAAACGGAGCAGGAAAAAGUUUUACAGAAUGAUAACAUCUGAGUCAGCAAAGUUGCUUUGUUUCAUAUGUAAUUUCAAGCUAAAGAUAAAAAAAGCUGCUGUUGUAUUAUUAAAGUACUGAAAAUUAUGUUUUUAUGUAUGAGACAACUUUAAAUUCCAAUGGUCACAAAACAGCAUUUAAUACCUGGAUGAAGGUAUCUAUUAAUCUUAUCCACAACAUUUUACGUACUAAGGUUUACGUACUUAACUUGUUACUUUCAUUAUAUUAUAAAGUAUAUUCAGUGCUAUUACAAUAUGCUGCAAUAUGUCAGAUCACCAUUUAGUUUUUUUUAAGCUGAAUAAUUGAAGAGUUUCUCUCUUGAAUCAUCACUGAGCAUUAAAUGUAAUGGAAACCUAUUAGCUUCAUUAGCCGUCAUGUAUUUUAUCGUGUUUUCUUGAUUGAGUGGAAAUGCUUGGCCUGCUUAUCGACGGGAGGAGAUGAAGUAUGAAAGUACAGUUACUGAUAAUAUCAAUGCGAGGCUGUAAGCUGAGGCUUUUUAAUACAAACUUGUAAUCUGAACAGACGUAGCUGAUAAAGCCCAUACCCUGAACAGAAUGAGCCCUCAGUCUCAAAAGCUGUGUUAUGAUCCUUCACAGAGACAGGAGUUGGAGAAAAUAACAAUGACACAUAAUACAAUUUAGUACAACAUAAAUGCCAUCUUUGUGAGUCUACAGUUUUGUAAAUGAAAGGGAAAAACAAUUAACCUUUUUUAACUUUUAAAUCUGAAGGUUACAAACUGUAUGGAAGCCUGAAUGUACCUCUUCAGCCAUUCAGACAUCAAAAUCAAACAAGAAAACACAAACAUUGCAUGAGAUUCUCUGCGGGAGGACGAUCAACGUCACAAUUAGGCCAGUUAUGCACAGCCAGACUAUAGUCCCCCACGCUGCUUUAAAGUAAGAAAUAUCGUGCACUGAGAGGUGUUUCUAAAAAAAAUUCUACUCCAUUUAAAUCAAAUAAAGUAGACUAAAUAUCAGCUACACUUCCCAGUAUAACCCAAUACAAUUCAACAGCACCACAAACUAUAUCCUUAAAAAUGACCCUUCAUUUCCUUUAUGGAUUGUUCAUUAAGUCAGUUAUCAUCUGUUUGACAUUUGGUGAAGGUGUUUCAUUAGCAGAUUUUCCUUUUUACCACAAGGUGCCGUGCUUUCAGUGGGAAAAUGACUCCACCUCGAUUUAUCUUUGGAUUACGAAAAUCUCGCCUAGUUGAUUUGAAAGGCAGCUGUAGGCUAUAAACUUCAACAACAAAGCCACGUUUUAUAGCUGCCUUUAAACCUGAAAAGCUUUAAAGGCAGCCACAUGAAAGAACCAGAAACAAGCAGUAAACACAACAAAACUCCACUUAAUAAACCACUCUUUUCUAAGAAAUUAUCACAUGUGUAGUUUGCCAGUAUUUCUGUUAAUACGCAGCAUAGUAAAGUCAUGGCUGUAGCUCUUUCUAGUCUCUCCUUUUCAUCUGGUAUGAAAAAAAACAUUUUCAGAGGCCUUGAACAGCGUUUUCUCUGUGCAAGCUAUUUUGUCAGAUUUUUCAGCCUUUAUGGGGCAAUGUCAAUGUAAUGUUUGAAACAAAAGAGACAUAUUGUAGCAUUAGAAAGAAUGACAUUAGGAUCUCUUGGGAUAAAAUAAGCUGUUCUCUAUUUUCUGUAAUUUUCUCAGUGGACAUUUGUUUGGCAGUCAAAUUCGUAUUUUUUAUUUGUUAUGAACACCCAGAGGGCCUUGUUGGACCUGGUACUCAUUUAUUUCUCACAAAUAUGCUGAGCUCAGAUGCAUGUCAGCUCAUCUUCAAAGAGACAGAUGUUAUUUUCUUAUUGUAGCAGCAGAGCAUUAUAUUUAACAUAGAAAUAAGCUGCUUUUCUGUCAAAUUACACCACAAAUUAUUUCUGUUUGGGACCAAUGUUCAUCUUAUUUGUUCACACAGGCAACUUUCAUCCUCUAAACUGGUUGACAUAAGUUAAAAGACCAGUGUCCAGGACUUAGUGGAAUAUAGCUGUGUGGUGGAAAGGCUCAUUCUAAGACUGGACCUUUAACAGAUAAACCACUCUGCAUCAUAAUGACACACAUACUGUAGGUGGACAGCUGUUUCGUCUUGAGAACGGUUCACCACUCAUCCAAGAGGCUUCAACACUUCUAAUGACAGGUGGAGAUUCAGAGACAUUUCAACCUCUGUGGGUCAUUCACACUUUAAUGUCACACGAUAUCAGAGAAGUUAAAAUUGCUUUCUGAUCUGGAUGAACUCAAAAGUAUGCAGCAAAACUGCUGCAUAAUGCUUUCUAACAUAUAAUAAACACCACAAGAAAAACAACCUCACACGUGCAUCAACAUACUACUGUACUACAAUACGAGGUGUGUGCACGUGUGUGUUUAUUCCUGCUGAGGGACAUGGAAAGAUUGCUGACAUAGUAUGUCGGCUUAAAAUUGCUUUUAUCUAGAUCACAAGGCUUGACUGGCCAUCCAAACUCCACGGAGGAUCAUUUGUUACUGUGUGCGUGCGUGUGUGUGUGUGUGUGUGUGUGUGUGUGUGUGUGUGUGUGUGUGUGUGUGUGUGUGUGUGUGUGUGUGUGUGUGGGUGGGUGGAUGGGGUGGUACAGGACCAACAUGAACACGUGUGGACCUGAUAAGCCACAAAUCUGUCUAGCUAUGACACCGGCUCUGCUCCCAACAUCAUCGAUUACAGAACACCGCAGCCUCGUUAUCACAUUGAGUGGAAGCUGGAGUGCUGAUAUCACUGUGUACUGAUUGAUGAUUGACACUGCUACACUGUGUGCAUGUGACUGUCCAACAAAAGGCACACAUCCAACAGACAUCCAUGAGGAACCCAGCUCAACUGAUAGUGCCUAGUAAAAUGCUUUGCGCAGACAGCUGCCCACUGUCCCACAGGAGUGGUUGCCUCGUAGUGUGUUUGUGUAUGUCCAUGGCCGUAAAAAGGCUCAUCAUGUCACUGCGGUGUACGUCUUCAGCUCUGCAGCCAGGAAUUGUACCGUCAGAGGCACAGCUGACUUUAAAAGUGCAUCUGCAGCAGAGAGCACUGUGGCAGUCAAGGGUAAAAUAUUUUUAUACAGCAGCAUUAGAUGACCGAGAGACCUGCUUACUGAUUUGCUCGAGCAAAAAGGCCUCAUGGGAAAUUAGGGAGCUGAGAGGGUAAAGCAGUCAUUUUAUAAGACAUCGGUUCAAAGUACAGUGCUCAGAAAGUGCAGCCUAAUAAAGAACCAUUUGUCUAUACGAUUACAAUUAUUCUGCAACAUUUGCACAUCUUUACAGUGAUUCUGGCCUGUCUGUUGUAACUAUGUGCCGCCAUUUUGUACUUUUCAUGGAUACUAAGAAACUUUACAAUAAUAGAGACAUCUUGUGUUCAGCAGGAAAACUUUUAAAACUAUGAACUUUUUAUAUUCAAAGAUUCUGAAAUGUUUAAUGAGGUAGAAGGAGUAGAUGCAUUUUCAAUGAUUUAAAUGUGGAAAUGGAUGUGGAUAUGUUUGCUGAAAAACAUAUUAGACACACAUUAUUGUUCCAGACAGACUAUUUGUACAUGUCAUAACACAUAACUGGAGGGGAUCUUUAAAGAACUCCUCGUGAUCUCUCCUGCUCCAAGAUUUUCUCUGCAGGCGUUUGCGAUGU